GAUGAACGCUGGCGGCGUGCUUAACACAUGCAAGUCGAACGGAAAGGCCCAAGCUUGCUUGGGUACUCGAGUGGCGAACGGGUGAGUAACACGUAGGUGAUCUGCCCUGCACUUCGGGAUAAGCCUGGGAAACUGGGUCUAAUACUGGAUAGGACCACUUCUUGGAUGGUGUGGUGGAAAGUUUUUUCGGUGUGGGAUGAGCUCGCGGCCUAUCAGCUUGUUGGUGGGGUAAUGGCCUACCAAGGCGUCGACGGGUAGCCGGCCUGAGAGGGUGUACGGCCACAUUGGGACUGAGAUACGGCCCAGACUCCUACGGGAGGCAGCAGUGGGGAAUAUUGCACAAUGGGCGCAAGCCUGAUGCAGCGACGCCGCGUGGGGGAUGACGGCCUUCGGGUUGUAAACUCCUUUCGCUAGGGACGAAGCGUUUUUGUGACGGUACCUGGAGAAGAAGCACCGGCUAACUACGUG
This 468-nucleotide ribosomal RNA is filed under the name uncultured bacterium. RNAcentral's name for it is "partial 16S ribosomal RNA". It matches the Rfam family "Bacterial small subunit ribosomal RNA", at positions 28 to 507 of the family's 1533-position model. The record is from RNAcentral.